RNAcentral lists this ribosomal RNA (382 nucleotides) under Arthrobacter sp. RNAcentral's name for it is "bacterial SSU rRNA". It matches the Rfam family "Bacterial small subunit ribosomal RNA", at positions 756 to 1135 of the family's 1533-position model. Lineage: Bacteria; Bacillati; Actinomycetota; Actinomycetes; Micrococcales; Micrococcaceae. The record is from RNAcentral.
AAAGCAUGGGGAGCGAACAGGAUUAGAUACCCUGGUAGUCCAUGCCGUAAACGUUGGGCACUAGGUGUGGGGGACAUUCCACGUUUUCCGCGCCGUAGCUAACGCAUUAAGUGCCCCGCCUGGGGAGUACGGCCGCAAGGCUAAAACUCAAAGGAAUUGACGGGGGCCCGCACAAGCGGCGGAGCAUGCGGAUUAAUUCGAUGCAACGCGAAGAACCUUACCAAGGCUUGACAUGGACCGGACCGCCGCAGAAAUGUGGUUUCCCCUUUGGGGCCGGUUCACAGGUGGUGCAUGGUUGUCGUCAGCUCGUGUCGUGAGAUGUUGGGUUAAGUCCCGCAACGAGCGCAACCCUCGUUCCAUGUUGCCAGCGCGUAAUGGCGGG